This 88-nucleotide transfer RNA is filed under the name Methanolobus zinderi. RNAcentral describes it as "tRNA-Leu". It matches the Rfam family "tRNA". From Rfam's summary of the family: Transfer RNA (tRNA) molecules are approximately 80 nucleotides in length. Their secondary structure includes four short double-helical elements and three loops (D, anti-codon, and T loops). Lineage: Archaea; Methanobacteriati; Methanobacteriota; Methanomicrobia; Methanosarcinales; Methanosarcinaceae. RNAcentral also lists the same sequence under 4 other names. The record is from RNAcentral.
GCGGGGGUUGCCCAGCCUGGCCAAAGGCGCAGGGCUUAGGACCCUGUCUCGUAGGAGUUCGUGCGUUCGAAUCGCACCUCCCGCACCA